Molecule: ribosomal RNA, 492 nt
Filed under: uncultured bacterium
Lineage: Bacteria
Description: partial 16S ribosomal RNA
Rfam family: Bacterial small subunit ribosomal RNA
Source: RNAcentral
AGUGAACGCUGGCGGUAGGCCUAACACAUGCAAGUCGAACGGCAGCACAGUAAGAGCUUGCUCUUACGGGUGGCGAGUGGCGGACGGGUGAGGAAUACAUCGGAAUCUACUUUUUCGUGGGGGAUAACGUAGGGAAACUUACGCUAAUACCGCAUACGACCUACGGGUGAAAGCUGGGGAUCUUCGGACCUUUCGCGAUCGAAUGAGCCGAUGUCGGAUUUGCUAGUUGGCGGGGUAGAGACCCACCAAGGCGACGAUCCGUACCUGGUCUGCGAGGAUGGUCAGCACCACUGGAACGGGGCAACGGCCCAGACUCCUACGGGAGGCAGAGGUGGGGAAUAUUGGACAAGGGGCGCAAGCCGGAUCCAGACAUACCGCGUGGGUGAAGAAGGCCUUCGGGUUGUAAAGCCCUUUUGUUGGGAAAGGAAAGCAGCAGGUUAAUACCCCGCUGUUCUGACGGUACCCAAAGAAUAAGCACCGGCUAACUUCGUG